UUUAUUGGAGAGUUUGAUCCUGGCUCAGGACGAACGCUGGCGGCAUGCCUAAUACAUGCAAGUCGAGCGGACUUGAAGAGAAGCUUGCUUCUCUGAUGGUUAGCGGCGGACGGGUGAGUAACACGUAGGCAACCUGCCCUCAAGUUUGGGACAACUACCGGAAACGGUAGCUAAUACCGAAUAGUUGUUUUCUUCGCCUGAAGGAAACUGGAAAGACGGAGCAAUCUGUCACUUGGGGAUGGGCCUGCGGCGCAUUAGCUAGUUGGUGGGGUAACGGCUCACCAAGGCGACGAUGCGUAGCCGACCUGAGAGGGUGAUCGGCCACACUGGGA
RNAcentral lists this ribosomal RNA (332 nucleotides) under Paenibacillus amylolyticus. RNAcentral describes it as "bacterial SSU rRNA". It matches the Rfam family "Bacterial small subunit ribosomal RNA", at positions 1 to 318 of the family's 1533-position model. The record is from RNAcentral. Lineage: Bacteria; Bacillati; Bacillota; Bacilli; Caryophanales; Paenibacillaceae.